Molecule: non-coding RNA, 4410 nt
Organism: Macaca mulatta (Rhesus monkey)
Lineage: Eukaryota; Metazoa; Chordata; Mammalia; Primates; Cercopithecidae
Source: the annotation of a RefSeq genome assembly
UGUGACUCUGCUCUGUCAACUGAUUUGAAAACGAUAAACACAUUCAGAUCUAGUCUUUUUAAAAUCCCUUUUUAAAUUGUAAAAUAAAGCAAGCAUGCUAUAAGGGGAUUGUUUAGUUUAAGAUUUUAUAAGACCCUCUAAACAACCACCUGCGUCACCGCAGUCAUACCCUGCAAUGGGCCACACAGUGUCCUGUGAGGAGCCAAGCUCUUCUGACACUUUAUGUCUGGUGGUCUCCAAGCCUCUCUUUCUCAGGAACCAAGGGGUCCCUUCUGUCAUAAGUUGCUGACACCCAAGGUCAAGCAGCACUGGGUUUGGGGGAAUCAUAGAGGUAACUUCCAGGCAAGGGUCCCAGGGCAGGAGGCAGCUGGAGAGCACAGUAGAUAACCCAGGUUUUGGGGAAUGGAUUUGAGAAAUAUGUCAAACCAGUUCUGUUAUUCUAUCUUCCAUCUUGUCUAUUCUCUAAUUUUCUUAUUUAAACUCAAACCUACAGCAUAAAUUCCAGCCCUGAUCAAAGCUCCACAUCCGCACAGACACCUUCUCUGAAUCCCGCAGGAAGCAAACUUGCCUCUGUCCACUCCCAUCCAUUCAGAUCCCGUGGACCAUGGUCUGGAAGCUUCCUCACUCAUCUACUCUCCUUCUCUUGACCUGAAGUGUCCUUGGUUUAAGAUCACAACUCCUCACUGGAUUUCCUCUCCACACUGACACUGGAAGCGGUGUUUUCUCCUUCUGGUCUCUUUAUUCCCAGCAUGUUAAAUCAUCAGGCUCAGAGUUCAGUGUCUCUGGAUUGUAGCUUUACAUUGGCCUUUAGGGAGGAGAGUGGGUCCUGGCCGUUCUCUUCGUGUCUUAGCUUGCCUAGGUCUCCUGAAUUCUGUGUUUCUUGGGGGCUCCUCAACUGCACUAUUUCACACAGGGUCUGCAGGACUGCACCGCAGGGAAACACAGAGGUCAAGCCUGGGGGCAUCCAUGCACUCCCAGGAUACACAGAGGCCGAGCCUGGGGGAAUCCGUGCACCCCCAGAAAACACAGAGGCCGAGCCUGGAGACAUCCGUGUCCAGUGUGCCACUAAGGCUCCCACUCCUCCAGUGCAGGAUCCUGAGUCUGUGGCUGCAGCCGGCACUGUGACCUCACAAGAUCUCCCCAUUUGCAUGGCUAAUGACCAGAGCUUCAGCUGGGAGUGGCCUCAGCCCUGCCCAAUUCUGCCGUGAAGAGACAGCACGCUUCUAUGUAGGGUGAUCUUUGGUCUCUUUGGAGCACGGUGCGUGGGGACCUGCAGAGACGAUGACAUCACAGCAGUCACAUCACAGGCUGACAUCCGAUCAGAGAUGCGAUGCCCAAAACCAGUACCCCUGGCAGGGUGACUCCUGCCCAGCUCUGUCCCACCCGGCCAUGGGCUCCAGGUACCUCUGAUGGGAAGGCCUUUGUCUCCUGGGACCCGGCCCAGUGGAUUCUGCUGUGCAGAACAGAGAGCAGUGGACCUCGGGAGGCCUGCAAGGGGAGGACAUAGGAGAGUGACAUCAUAGGAUGCCCCUCCCACCAGGAAAAGGGAGGCUGAGAACUCAGCUCUUCCCCAGGAGGACCAAGCCCUGAGCACAGACACGGUGCUGCCUGCCCCUUUGUGCCACGGGCUCCAUGCUGCUCUGCUGGGCACUGCUUUGUCUCCUGGGAGCAGGCCCAGUAGAGGCUGGAGUCACCCAAACUCCAAGAUCUCUGAUCAAAACAAGAGGACAGCAAGUGACACUGAGCUGCUCCCCUGUCUCUGGGCAUAACAGUGUGUCCUGGUACCAACAAGCUCCAGACCUGCUGACUCUAAUAGCAUCGUAGUCGGAGAUCAGUUUACCCUGGAGACAGUGGUGUAGGGAAAGUGGUCUGAAGAGGCACCAUGACUCCCAGCCGUGACUUCCACUCUAACACCAGCUCAUCAAGAUCUCAGGCCAGUUCUUAAUGGGUUAAGUUUAGCUUUAACAUUUUUUUUUAAAUCUACAAAAUGAGACUAACACUCUCCAUCAGCAGAGAUCUAUAUAACCUUUAAUGGCAUAAAGUAUCUAGCGUAUAGUAGAAGCCUAGAUAUCUUGGUUUCCUUUGCUGGUCUCAGACAACCUCUUCCACUAUGCCAAUGUGCAAAGACAGAUAUGGACACAUUCUGCAAAGAAAUCUUAGGUUGAGGACUCAGAAGUCACAGAAAUGGAAAUAUAUAUGCUUGAUAAUUCAUUUGAUAAAAUUAACUAGAGGAUGUAGCAUACAUAUCUCCUCAGACAUUCAAAAAUCCACAUUUUUGAUAUAUAAAUUAUAUGAAGUAAACACGACAUCUUUUAAAUGAACAGAUCAGUGAUUUUUGAGCAACAUAUAUCGACGUAUGCAACCCCGCCUCUAUGAAGAUGUAUCUGCCUCACCACGAAAGUCCCUCACUCCCCUCUGCAAUGCCUCUCUCUGUCCCAACGACCAAUGAGGUGACCUCUAUCACUGGAGAGUCAUUUUGUUCGCAAAUAUUUUUAAUGCAAAUGUCAAACCUCAUCUGAUUAAUCCCCUUGAAUACACAGCUAAGUAAUCAAGGCAGGGAGGAGUUCCUGGGAGGUUUUCUGGUUUUAGAAGGGGUUGAAGCCAUGUGAGCUACCUGACCCAUGGUAGGGACAAUUCUAUCUGGAGAUGGAUGUUGUGCCGAAAUAACCUCAAAAGGUCUUUUCAGCUGGUAGAAGCUGAUUCUACAAAAUUUAUUCAUUUUCAUUCAUUUAUUUUCUCAUCAGCUCAUUCAAUCAAACACAUUUAUGUCAUGUUUUGACAAAAGUUAAUCAUUUUUAAGGAAAUUAUUUUGAGUUCCCAUCAGACACACAUGCAGCUGGGCUUCGUGUUCACACAGUGAGCAUGCUGGGGUCAAGCAAACCAACAUCACAGCGACUUCAUUGACAGAUGAUGUCUUAUUAGGAGAAGGGUUCUCUUUGACUUGACGCCAAGUGUCCAACCCGUAAAACCUGAGCCUUGAGCUAAAAUCGAUCUUCCUGUUCUGGCCCUGCCCUGGGCACCAGGCCACUGUGCUGUGUGUUUCUGUCUCCUGAACCACAGUCCUGGACACAGAUAUGGAACCUAUUCAUGGGCUUGUUUGAUUCCAGCUGUGACUUUCAGUACCAGGUGGUCCUUUGCUGUGACUUUAAUUUCUGUUUUCUUUAUUCUUAAGUUCCGUAGAUGCUGAGUGACCCAGACCCUGGUUGUGCUCUUGUGCUGAAAGGAAACAAGCACAUGGGGAGACCCAGAAGACCCCUCCGUCCUGCAGCCCGUGCCAUGAACAUCAGGCUCCUGUGCUGUGCGGCCUUUUCUCUCCUGUGGCCAGGUCCAGUGAAUGCUGGUGUCACUCAGACCCCAAAAUUCCAGGUCCUGAAGACAGGACAGAACAUGACACUGAAGUGUGCCCAGGAUAUGAACCAUGACCGUAUGUACUGGUAUCGACAAGACCCAGGCAUGGGACUGAGGCUGAUUCAUUACUCAGCUGGUGAAGGUAGCACUGAGAAAGGAGAAGUCCCCAAUGGCUACAAUGCCUCCAGAUUAAACAAAAAGGAUUUCCUGCUCAGGUUGGAGUCAGCUGCUCCCUCCCAGACAUCUAUGUACUUCUGUGCCAGCAGUGAAGCCACAGUGCUGCACGGCCGUCUCCUCUCUGCACAUAAAGGCAGGGGAGGCUCUGCCCUCCUCCCCACCCCAGACUCAGCAAUGCCCUUGGUCCUAGCACCAGAAACUUUGGAGCCUCAGUGGGCCUGGGCAAUGCCAGUCUUGGUCUGUGCCAGGUGCCUCUGCAGUCGGUCUUGGCCCGGUCUGGACUGGACUGGUCCCAGCGCCUCAGAUGUCUUCUUUGUCCCCCUCUGGUCUUUCCUCUGAGCUGUCCUUUCGGGUUGGGACCAGAGGUUUCCCAGCUCUGACUUUCCUAGUCAUUCACCUGAGUCUGAGGCCUCGUAGGUGAAAUAGGAUUUGUAUUUCAGAUCCAUCUAGACUCCCAUCUCUACCUGCGUACCAGAUGCUUUCCUCUCUAUGAUUUUUCCUCAUAUUGAACCCUAAAGUCGUCUUAGCCACAGCCUGCAUUUCCUAUAUUCACAGUCGCCCUCCAAUACCUUGCUGGGUUUCUCCUCCCCGACCUCCCUGCCCUUCUCUACUCUUGCCAUGUUGAGAGACUCCAAAGUCCACUUCCUGUGCCCUGGGCUGGAGACUUCCUUUCUGUAGUGGUCAACACCUACCUGUGCUUCAGAUCUCAGCAUGAUCAGCCCUGGUGAUAAUCACCACUAUGUUUCCCUCAGCUCCCAGCUGAGGUCAGUUUCCCUUUAAUAAUCUCUCAUGCUAUCAUGUGUCUGUUAGUCAGUAGAAUUUAGCACAAUUGGAAUCUUCCAGAUACUUUAAACCCCAUGAAGGCCAAGGCUAUGUCUGCUUUAU